GGAUGUGAGGGCGACCUGGCUGCAACAUCUGUCACCCCGUUGAUGGCCAGGGUGGAUUCAGCUGAUCUGUCUGGCUAGGUGGGUGUCCCCUUCCUCUCUCACUGCUCCAUGUGUGUCCCUCCUGAAGCUGCACACUUGGUCAAAGAGGACGACCAUCCUGGAUAGAGGAGGACUGUUCUUUGGUCAAACGUAUAGGACUAGCUGCACUCCCUGCGAGAACCUCCAAACAAACUCUCAAUGGUAUCACAACACUAUGUGGUCUGACUCCUU
This 270-nucleotide small nuclear RNA is filed under the name Castor canadensis (American beaver). RNAcentral's name for it is "7SK RNA (ENSCCNG00000012599.1)". It matches the Rfam family "7SK RNA", at positions 1 to 278 of the family's 331-position model. Rfam says of the family: 7SK was discovered as an abundant small nuclear RNA in the mid-70s but a possible function has only recently been suggested. Two independent studies have found that 7SK RNA binds the CDK9/cyclin T complex (known as elongation factor P-TEFb). The record is from RNAcentral. Lineage: Eukaryota; Metazoa; Chordata; Mammalia; Rodentia; Castoridae.